GUGGGGAAUCUUAGACAAUGGGGGCAACCCUGAUCUAGUCAUGCCGCGUGAGUGAUGAAGGCCUUAGGGUUGUAAAGCUCUUUCAGUGGGGAAGAUAAUGACGGUACCCACAGAAGAAGCCCCGGCUAACUCCGUGCCAGCAGCCGCGGUAAUACGGAGGGGGCUAGCGUUGUUCGGAAUUACUGGGCGUAAAGCGCACGUAGGCGGAUCGGAAAGUUGGGGGUGAAAUCCCAGGGCUCAACCCUGGAACUGCCUUCAAAACUAUCGGUCUGGAGUCCGAGAGAGGUGAGUGGAAUUCCGAGUGUAGAGGUGAAAUUCGUAGAUAUUCGGAGGAACACCAGUGGCGAAGGCGGCUCACUGGCUCGGUACUGACGCUGAGGUGCGAAAGCGUGGGGAGCAAACAGGAUUAGAAACCCUGGUAGUCC
RNAcentral lists this ribosomal RNA (425 nucleotides) under uncultured bacterium. Its description in RNAcentral is "partial 16S ribosomal RNA". It matches the Rfam family "Bacterial small subunit ribosomal RNA", at positions 354 to 796 of the family's 1533-position model. The record is from RNAcentral.